UGUGAGCCAUUCAGGUACAGCUUAGACAACCGAAGAGCAGAGAAAGCUGAAACACUGUCUCUACGGAGGGGACUGUUCACAAGCCGUGGCUCUCUGAGCGAUGGAGUUUUCAGGCACAGGGUCUCCAAAGAAAGAGUGUGACAUUUCUCUUUCUGGGUAUGUGUUCAUGUUUUUCUUAACAAUCCUCAUGAUCAGUGAACGGCAUCACACUUAAUCUUCAUUUUAUAUUUGCUAUGUCUUGGAUAUGAAGUCUCUCCAGAAAAGGCUCAUAUGUGAAGCUUCUUCCCCAGGUAAAUACAUGCAGUACCUGAAGGUGCCAGAAGAGGGCGUCAUAUCCCCUGAAACUGGAGCCACCAUAUGGAAGCUAGGAAUCAAAC
Molecule: long non-coding RNA, 377 nt
Organism: Rattus rattus (black rat)
Lineage: Eukaryota; Metazoa; Chordata; Mammalia; Rodentia; Muridae
Exons: 3
Source: RefSeq, a predicted model, not a curated record